Molecule: ribosomal RNA, 427 nt
Filed under: uncultured bacterium
Lineage: Bacteria
Description: partial 16S ribosomal RNA
Rfam family: Bacterial small subunit ribosomal RNA
Source: RNAcentral
UGGGGAAUAUUGGACAAUGGGCGAAAGCCUGAUCCAGCCAUGCCGCGUGUGUGAAGAAGGUCUUCGGAUUGUAAAGCACUUUAAGUUGGGAGGAAGGGCAUUAACCUAAUACGUUAGUGUUUUGACGUUACCGACAGAAUAAGCACCGGCUAACUCUGUGCCAGCAGCCGCGGUAAUACAGAGGGUGCAAGCGUUAAUCGGAAUUACUGGGCGUAAAGCGCGCGUAGGUGGUUUGUUAAGUUGGAUGUGAAAUCCCCGGGCUCAACCUGGGAACUGCAUUCAAAACUGACUGACUAGAGUAUGGUAGAGGGUGGUGGAAUUUCCUGUGUAGCGGUGAAAUGCGUAGAUAUAGGAAGGAACACCAGUGGCGAAGGCGGCCACCUGGACUAAUACUGACACUGAGGUGCGAAAGCGUGGGGAGCAAACA